Molecule: ribosomal RNA, 612 nt
Filed under: uncultured bacterium
Lineage: Bacteria
Description: bacterial SSU rRNA
Rfam family: Bacterial small subunit ribosomal RNA
Source: RNAcentral
UAACAGCCCACCAAGGCGACGAUGGGUAGCCGGCCUGAGAGGGUGUCCGGCCACACUGGGAUUGAGAUACGGCCCAGACUCCUUCGGGAGGCAGCAGUCGAGAAUCUUCCCCAAUGGGCGAAAGCCUGAGGGAGCGACGCCGCGUGAGGGAUGAAGGCCCUUUGGGUUGUAAACCUCUGUUAGGGGGAAAGAACAGCAGUGGGAGCAAUAUGUCCAUUGCCUGACGUUACCCCCAGAGAAAGCUCCGGCCAACUCCGUGCCAGCAGCCGCGGUAAUACGGGGGGAGCAAGCGUUGUCCGGAAUCAUUGGGCGUAAAGGGCGUGUAGGCGGUUUGGCAAGUCGAAUGUGAAAUCCCACGGCUCAACCGUGGAACUGCGUUCGAAACUGCCUUACUUGAGUGCGGGAGAGGUGUGCGGAAUUCCUGGUGUAGCGGUGGAAUGCGUAGAUAUCAGGAAGAACACCGGUGGCGAAGGCGGCACACUGGCCCAGCACUGACGCUGAGGCGCGAAAGCGUGGGGAGCGAACGGGAUUAGAUACCCCGGUAGUCCACGCUGUAAACUUUGGGCACUAGGUAUUGGAGGUCUCAACCCCUUCAGUGCCGUAGCUAACGCG